Molecule: non-coding RNA, 30 nt
Filed under: Cricetulus griseus (Chinese hamster)
Lineage: Eukaryota; Metazoa; Chordata; Mammalia; Rodentia; Cricetidae
Source: RNAcentral
CACUGAAGAAAGGAACUGGAAAACUCUCAA